Molecule: ribosomal RNA, 793 nt
Filed under: uncultured Flavobacteriia bacterium
Lineage: Bacteria; Pseudomonadati; Bacteroidota; Flavobacteriia
Description: bacterial SSU rRNA
Rfam family: Bacterial small subunit ribosomal RNA
Source: RNAcentral
CAGCGCAGUGUAGCAAUACAUGGGCGGCGACCGGCAAACGGGUGCGGAACACGUACGCAACCUUCCUUUAACUGGAGAAUAGCCCGGGGAAACCCGGAUUAAUACUCCGUAACAUUAUGAAGUGGCAUCACUUUAUAAUUAUAGCUCAGGCGGUUAAAGAUGGGCGUGCGUCUGAUUAGGUAGUUGACGGGGUAACGGCCCACCAAGCCUACGAUCAGUAACUGGUGUGAGAGCACGACCAGUCACACGGGCACUGAGACACGGGCCCGACUCCUACGGGAGGCAGCAGUAAGGAAUAUUGGUCAAUGGACGCAAGUCUGAACCAGCCAUGCCGCGUGGAGGAUGAAGGUCCUCUGGAUUGUAAACUUCUUUUAUCUGGGAAGAAACCACCGAUUUCUAUUGGUGUUGACGGUACCAGAUGAAUAAGCACCGGCUAACUCCGUGCCAGCAGCCGCGGUAAUACGGAGGGUGCAAGCGUUAUCCGGAUUCACUGGGUUUAAAGGGUGCGUAGGUGGGCAGGUAAGUCAGUGGUGAAAUCUCCGGGCUUAACCCGGAAACUGCCGUUGAUACUAUCUGUCUUGAAUAUCGUGGAGAUGAGCGGAAUACGUCAUGUAGCGGUGAAAUGCUUAGAUAUGACGUAGAACACCGAUUGCGAAGGCAGCUCGUUACACGGUUAUUGACACUGAGGCACGAAAGCGUGGGGAUCAAACAGGAUUAGAUACCCUGGUAGUCCACGCCCUAAACGAUGAUUACUCGACAUCAGCGAUACACUGUUGGUGUCUGAGCGAAAGCA